CCUACGGGAGGCUGCAGUGGGGAAUAUUGGACAAUGGGCGCAAGCCUGAUCCAGCAAUGCCGCGUGUGUGAAGAAGGCCUGCGGGUUGUAAAGCACUUUAAGCAGGAAAGAAGGGGUGAAAGUUAAUACCUUUCAUCAUUGACGUUACCUGCAGAAUAAGCACCGGCUAACUCCGUGCCAGCAGCCGCGGUAAUACGGAGGGUGCGAGCGUUGAGUGGAAUUACUGGGCGUAGUUUGAUCAUUCCGGGGUGAAAGCCCUGGGCGUAACCUGGGAACUGCGGUUGAUACUGUCGGGCUAGAGUGUGGUAGAGGGGAGUGGAAUUUCCGGUGUAGCAGUGAAAUGCGUAGAGAUCGGAAGGAACACCAGUGGCGAAGGCGGCUCCCUGGACUAACACUGACGCUGAGGUGCGAAAGCGUGGGGAGCAAACAGGAUUAGAUACCCUAGUAGUC
This 450-nucleotide ribosomal RNA is filed under the name uncultured bacterium. RNAcentral's name for it is "partial 16S ribosomal RNA". It matches the Rfam family "Bacterial small subunit ribosomal RNA", at positions 338 to 795 of the family's 1533-position model. The record is from RNAcentral.